Molecule: ribosomal RNA, 517 nt
Filed under: Candidatus Delongbacteria bacterium
Lineage: Bacteria; Candidatus Delongiibacteriota
Description: partial 16S ribosomal RNA
Rfam family: Bacterial small subunit ribosomal RNA
Source: RNAcentral
ACAACGGAGAGUUUGAUCCUGGCUCAGGACGAACGCUGGCGGCGUGCCUAACACAUGCAAGUCAACUAGCAGCAAUGUUGGUGGCGAACGGGUGAGUAACGCGUAGAUAAUCUACCCUUUAAUCAUGGAUAACCUAGUGAAAACUGGACUAAUACAGGAUGUGAUCUUGAGACGGCAUCGUUUUGGGAUUAAAGACUACGGGUCGUUAAAGGAUGAGUCUGCGUAUCAUUAGCUAGUUGGCGGGGUAACGGCCCACCAAGGCGACGAUGAUUAGCUGGUCUGAGAGGAUGAUCAGCCACACUGGGACUGAGAUACNNNNNNNNNNNNNNCAGCAGCCGCGGUAAUACGGGGGGAGCUAGCGUUGUCCGGAAUCAUUGGGCGUAAAGGGCAUGUAGGUGGGACUUUAAGUCAAUUGUUAAAUCGUACGGCUUAACCGUAUUAUGCAGUUGAUACUGGAGUUCUUGAGUGUGAGAGGGGACAGAGGAAUACCUGGUGUAGCGGUGGAAUGCGUAGAUAU